GACUGCAAGAAGAGCAGAAGCUACGGGC
RNAcentral lists this small RNA (28 nucleotides) under Bombyx mori (domestic silkworm). RNAcentral's name for it is "ovarian small RNA-15631". The record is from RNAcentral. Lineage: Eukaryota; Metazoa; Arthropoda; Insecta; Lepidoptera; Bombycidae.